UACGUAGGUGGCGAGCGUUGUCCGGAUUUACUGGGCGUAAAGAGCGCGCAGGCGGUCGUACAAGUCGCGUGUGAAAGCCCCCGGCUCAACUGGGGAGGGUCACGCGAUACUGUUCGACUCGAAGGCAGGAGAGGGUAGUGGAAUUCCCGGUGUAGUGGUGAAAUGCGUAGAUAUCGGGAGGAACACCAGUGGCGAAGGCGACUACCUGGCCUGUUCUUGACGCUGAGGCGCGAAAGCGUGGGGAGCGAACCGG
RNAcentral lists this ribosomal RNA (253 nucleotides) under uncultured bacterium. RNAcentral's name for it is "partial 16S ribosomal RNA". It matches the Rfam family "Bacterial small subunit ribosomal RNA", at positions 524 to 776 of the family's 1533-position model. The record is from RNAcentral.